Molecule: ribosomal RNA, 330 nt
Filed under: uncultured bacterium
Lineage: Bacteria
Description: bacterial SSU rRNA
Rfam family: Bacterial small subunit ribosomal RNA
Source: RNAcentral
UGUGUAGGCGGUUUGGUAAGUCUGGUGUGAAAUCUCCCGGCUCAACUGGGAGGGUGCGCCGGAAACUGCUGGACUCGAGUGCGGGAGAGGAAAGUGGAAUUCCUGGUGUAGCGGUGAAAUGCGUAGAUAUCAGGAGGAACACCGGUGGUGUAAACGGCUUUCUGGACCGUAACUGACGCUGAUACACGAAAGCGUGGGUAGCAAACAGGAUUAGAUACCCUGGUAGUCCACGCCCUAAACGAUGCAUAUUUGGUGUGGGCAGUUCAUUCUGUCCGUGCCGGAGCUAACGCGUUAAAUAUGCCGCCUGGGGAGUACAGUCGCAAGGCUGAA